This 1413-nucleotide unclassified non-coding RNA is filed under the name Hevea brasiliensis (rubber tree). The record is from RNAcentral. Lineage: Eukaryota; Viridiplantae; Streptophyta; Magnoliopsida; Malpighiales; Euphorbiaceae.
GCAACAUUUGCCAUACAACAAACUGUGUAACUGCUUUGAUAACUUGCAACAACAAACAAUAUAUGAUCAUCUUGAUUUCACAUCUUCAAAAUGUUGUACAACUUCGUAUGUUUUACUAACGAAAAAUAAGAUAAUCGACUUUUACAAGAAAGAAAGAAACGAAACAAGUUCAAAAGAAAUCAAAUUCGAGAUAGUUAUCAGACUUUUGCUGGUAUUGAACAGUUACAGCCACGGGUUUCUCACUAGUUGAUGAUGGCUGCUGUGCUGAGAAUCUCUCGAAUUCAACAGGUCUUGGGAUCUCAGGAGGGCUUGCACAACGAAUCAAAGCCCAGUUUACACCUUCGAAAAAUGGAUGCUGCUUGAUUUCUGUAGCUCCUCUUUUGUAUGCCAAUCGAUUUUGUGGCUCUUUCACGAGCAAGCCUCGUAUAAGAUCUCUAGCUGAAAAACUUACCACUGGAGAUUCUGGAAAACGGAGGGGCUGACCUACAACAUUGAAAAGUGUAGCUCGGUUUCCUGAUCCCUUGAAGGGUGUCUUACCAAACAGUAACUCGUAAAGAAAGAUACCAAAGGUCCACCAGUCCACUGCACUCCCAUGUCCUUCACCUUUGAUUAUUUCAGGUGCUAAAUACUCGUGUGUCCCAACGAAAGACAUCGAACGUGCUCCAGUAGGCUCAGCCAUAAGUUCAGGUAAUGGGCUAACUUGGUUCCCUGUAUCAUUUUUAGAUUUUUUUUCUUUCUUCGACUUACUAGAAAAGAAGCGAGGCCCAAAACAGGAUGUAGUAACAGCACAUGAUGGCUGGAUACAAGAGGGCUCAAUGCAUGUUGGCUGCACACAGUAACCGGAAUUCUUCCGGAGUGGCUCCACAUCAAUAGACGACAACUUGACAAGUGUUGGACUCACAGCACAACGAAGGGAGAGAUCAAAAUCAGAUAGCAUUAUGUGUCCAUCUUCUCUAACAAGCACAUUUUCUGGCUUGAGAUCGCGAUAAACAAUGCCAAGCAUGUGAAGGUAUUCCAGGGAAAGGAGCACUUCUGCUACGUAGAAUUUCACCGCUUGUUCUGAAAAAUGCUUCCCUGGUUGUCUUUGUCUGAGUGUGUGCAGGUCUCCUCCUGGGCAGAACUCCAUCACUAGACAUGAGAACUUUUCUGUUUCAAAAUGGCUAUAUAAUGUUGGGAGAAAUGGAUGGUCCAGGGACUGCAAAAUCUCUCUUUCUGUCUGUGCACGAAGCAAUUUCUUACGACUAGCUAACGACGCCUUAUCCAUAACUUUCAUGGCAAAAUAACACUUUGUUCCACACAGCUCCGACAGAUAGACACUUCCAAUAUCACCACUUCCCAACUUCUUCAGCAACCGGAAGUGCCUCAAAUCCAAUGCCCCAUCUUUAGUCCGGAUAGCUUGAAUGGCUUCCCAUC